GGAUAUCAUCAUAUACUGUAAGUUCGUUAUAGAGACACUACAGUAUAGAUGAUGUACUA
Molecule: microRNA precursor, 59 nt
Filed under: Lepisosteus oculatus (spotted gar)
Lineage: Eukaryota; Metazoa; Chordata; Actinopteri; Semionotiformes; Lepisosteidae
Description: Loc-Mir-144-v2_pre stem-loop
Rfam family: mir-144 microRNA precursor family
Source: RNAcentral